This 1240-nucleotide long non-coding RNA is filed under the name Gadus morhua (Atlantic cod). RNAcentral's name for it is "lncRNA (ENSGMOG00000029021.1)". Lineage: Eukaryota; Metazoa; Chordata; Actinopteri; Gadiformes; Gadidae. The record is from RNAcentral.
GUCGCUGUUUCGACCUCCACUGGCGCAUCUUGGCGGAAAAAGGGAACAUGCAAGUUUCGGCCGGUGACCCGCCGCCCACUCUCGCGGGAAUCUCGGGUCCCGCGAAGCACCGAAUUGCUUUACGGCUUUACAGACCCACAAAUACGGAACCGGCUCGAUAUAAACACAAGUAGCGAAGGUAUUGUUACAUUCGUCAUGGAUCAGCCGACUAAAAAGACUCAGAGAAACCCAAUGUCGGAGAAACAGAAGAAGAGAAAAGGGAGAGCGACAGAGAGGCCAGAUACGAGUAAACGUUGGGCGAGCUGCUCAGGAAUAGUGUGAACUGAAAGAAAAAGAAGACUGCAAAUCGGAUGCCGACUGUUGCUCUUGAAAUUGACAUUGCUGACAAGUGAAGAUGCCAGACUUUUGUGCAGCCUACGGAUGCGUUAAUCUGCGAACUCUCGAAACGAGAACCCGUGGGAUCACCUUUCACCUGUAGGAUAUUACAAUAUUAUGACUUAUUUUUAGGAUAAUCGUUAUUCUAAAAGUAAUUGUUACUUAGCGGAAGUAUAUACAAUACAGCUCCUUUUACACAGGAACAGCGGGGAUAGUAUUGCUAGAUUGUUGUUGACACAAGGCUUUUUAGAAUAUGUUUGUUAACACAAUCACUGAAUGGAAUUUUGGACACCUUUUUAUUGUGUUUUUAGUGCGGUUAAUCUUAAAUACUGAUUGAAAAUGUUGACAAUUAUUAAUAUAUCUGGGUGCAUUUCUCAAUUUUUUAAGGUUUCCCAAAGCCAGAGCGAUGAGGAUAAAGUAGGAAAUUGCCCUAAGAAGGGACGGUUUUGCUGCCUCUGACAGGACACUGCUCUGCAGUGACCACUUCAGGAGUGAGAACUUUGACAGGAUGGGGCAGAAUGUCUGGCUUAAAGAUGGUGUUGUGCCAACCCUUUUCAACUUUCCAGCUCAUCUUCAAAGUUCUGUAGCAACAAGAAGCACAACCACAGCUAAAAGAGCGGAAGACAACCUUGCAAUGGACUUGAUGCCUGGUGUUGGAGCUACUGGAGAGAGGAGAUUGAGCCGCAAGCGGCAGGCCACUGACGACCACUUGUAUGCAUUGCCUGUUUGCCCUACGGCUAUGAAGGCCAAACUUGAAGAAGCCUCAGCGAGAGUGAGGAAACAGGGCCAAGAACAACAUGCAGGCUGUUCUGGAGGAACUGAAGGAGAAAAACCUCAUCAACGAAGAGCUGAAAGACAAGCUUGA